GUGAAAUCCCAAAGCUUAACUUUGGAACUGCAAUUAAAACUGCUCGACUAGAGUUUGAUAGAGGAAAGCGGAAUACAUAGUGUAGAGGUGAAAUUNGUAGAUAUUAUGUAGAACACCAGUUGCGAAGGCGGCUUUCUGGAUCAACACUGACGCUGAGGCGCGAAAGUAUGGGUAGCAAAGAGGAUUAGAUACCCUCGUAGUCCAUACCAUAAACGAUGAUUGCUAGAUGUUGGAAAUUUAUUUUCAGUAUCGCAGCUAACGCAUUAAGCAAUCCGCCUGGGGAGUACGACCGCAAGGUUAAAACUCAAAUGAAUUGACGGGGACCCGCACAAGCGGUGGAGCAUGUGGUUUAAUUCGAAGAUACGCGCAGAACCUUACCAACCCUUGACAUGUCUGUCGCGAGUUUAGGAAACUAGACUUUUCGGUUCGGCCGGACAGAACACAGGUGCUGCAUGGCUGUCGUCAGCUCGUGUCGUGAGAUGUUGGGUUAAGUCCCGCAACGAGCGCAACCCCUACUUUUAGUUGCCAUCAGGUCAUGCUGGGCACUCUGAAAGAACUGCCAGUGAUAAGCUGGAGGAAGGUGGGGAUGACGUCAAGUCCUCAUGGCCCUUACGGGUUGGGCUACACACGUGCUACAAUGGUAGUGACAAUGAGAUGCAAAGUGGCGACGCUAAGCUAAACUCAAAAAUCUACCUCAGUUCGGAUUGCACUCUGCAACUCGAGUGCAUGAAGCUGGAAUCGCUAGUAAUCGUAGAUCAGCGUGCUACGGUGAAUACGUUCCCGGGUCUUGUACACACCGCCCGUCACACCAUGGAAGUUGGUUCUACCUUAAAGCAGAUUGCUAACCGCAAGGAGGCGUUUGACCAAGGUAUAGUCAGCAACUGGGGUGAAGUCGUAACAAGGUAACCGUA
This 911-nucleotide ribosomal RNA is filed under the name uncultured bacterium. Its description in RNAcentral is "bacterial SSU rRNA". It matches the Rfam family "Bacterial small subunit ribosomal RNA", at positions 594 to 1504 of the family's 1533-position model. The record is from RNAcentral.